CGGCGUGUAUUUCAAUCUGGUAGAAUUCAUGCUUUGGGAGCAUGAGGUUGCAAGUUCAAAUCUUGCCACGCCGACCA
RNAcentral lists this transfer RNA (77 nucleotides) under Candidatus Nitrosopumilus sp. Its description in RNAcentral is "Nitrosopumilus sp. tRNA-Pro". It matches the Rfam family "tRNA". Rfam says of the family: Transfer RNA (tRNA) molecules are approximately 80 nucleotides in length. Their secondary structure includes four short double-helical elements and three loops (D, anti-codon, and T loops). Further hydrogen bonds mediate the characteristic L-shaped molecular structure. tRNAs have two regions of fundamental functional importance: the anti-codon, which is responsible for specific mRNA codon recognition, and the 3' end, to which the tRNAs corresponding amino acid is attached (by aminoacyl-tRNA synthetases). tRNAs cope with the degeneracy of the genetic code in two manners: having more than one tRNA (with a specific anti-codon) for a particular amino acid; and 'wobble' base-pairing, i.e. permitting non-standard base-pairing at the 3rd anti-codon position. The record is from RNAcentral. Lineage: Archaea; Thermoproteati; Nitrososphaerota; Nitrososphaeria; Nitrosopumilales; Nitrosopumilaceae. RNAcentral also lists the same sequence under 1 other name.